This 1442-nucleotide ribosomal RNA is filed under the name uncultured organism. Its description in RNAcentral is "SSU rRNA". It matches the Rfam family "Bacterial small subunit ribosomal RNA". The record is from RNAcentral.
GAACGCUAGCUACAGGCUUAACACAUGCAAGUCGAGGGGCAGCAUGGUCUUAGCUUGCUAAGGCCGAUGGCGACCGGCGCACGGGUGAGUAACACGUAUCCAACCUGCCGUCUACUCUUGGACAGCCUUCUGAAAGGAAGAUUAAUACAAGAUGGCAUCAUGAGUCCACAUGUUCACAUGAUUAAAGGUAUUCCGGUAGACGAUGGGGAUGCGUUCCAUUAGAUAGUAGGCGGGGUAACGGCCCACCUAGUCUUCGAUGGAUAGGGGUUCUGAGAGGAAGGUCCCCCACAUUGGAACUGAGACACGGUCCAAACUCCUACGGGAGGCAGCAGUGAGGAAUAUUGGUCAAUGGGCGAGAGCCUGAACCAGCCAAGUAGCGUGAAGGAUGACUGCCCUAUGGGUUGUAAACUUCUUUUAUAAAGGAAUAAAGUCGGGUAUGCAUACCCGUUUGCAUGUACUUUAUGAAUAAGGAUCGGCUAACUCCGUGCCAGCAGCCGCGGUAAUACGGAGGAUCCGAGCGUUAUCCGGAUUUAUUGGGUUUAAAGGGAGCGUAGAUGGAUGUUUAAGUCAGUUGUGAAAGUUUGCGGCUCAACCGUAAAAUUGCAGUUGAUACUGGAUAUCUUGAGUGCAGUUGAGGCAGGCGGAAUUCGUGGUGUAGCGGUGAAAUGCUUAGAUAUCACGAAGAACUCCGAUUGCGAAGGCAGCCUGCUAAGCUGCAACUGACAUUGAGGCUCGAAAGUGUGGGUAUCAAACAGGAUUAGAUACCCUGGUAGUCCACACGGUAAACGAUGAAUACUCGCUGUUUGCGAUAUGCUGCAAGCGGCCAAGCGAAAGCGUUAAGUAUUCCACCUGGGGAGUACGCCGGCAACGGUGAAACUCAAAGGAAUUGACGGGGGCCCGCACAAGCGGAGGAACAUGUGGUUUAAUUCGAUGAUACGCGAGGAACCUUACCCGGGCUUAAAUUGCAGAUGAAUUACGGUGAAAGCCGUAAGCCGCAAGGCAUCUGUGAAGGUGCUGCAUGGUUGUCGUCAGCUCGUGCCGUGAGGUGUCGGCUUAAGUGCCAUAACGAGCGCAACCCUUGUUGUCAGUUACUAACAGGUUCUGCUGAGGACUCUGACAAGACUGCCAUCGUAAGAUGUGAGGAAGGUGGGGAUGACGUCAAAUCAGCACGGCCCUUACGUCCGGGGCUACACACGUGUUACAAUGGGGGGUACAGAGGGCCGCUACCACGCGAGUGGAUGCCAAUCCCAAAAACCUCUCUCAGUUCGGACUGGAGUCUGCAACCCGACUCCACGAAGCUGGAUUCGCUAGUAAUCGCGCAUCAGCCACGGCGCGGUGAAUACGUUCCCGGGCCUUGUACACACCGCCCGUCAAGCCAUGGGAGCCGGGGGUACCUGAAGUGCGUAACCGCGAGGAGCGCCCUAGGGUAAAACUGGUGACUG